This 27-nucleotide non-coding RNA is filed under the name Homo sapiens (human). Lineage: Eukaryota; Metazoa; Chordata; Mammalia; Primates; Hominidae. The record is from RNAcentral.
UGCCGUAGUUCUCGACCAUAUUGGAGA